Molecule: ribosomal RNA, 679 nt
Filed under: uncultured Malassezia
Lineage: Eukaryota; Fungi; Basidiomycota; Malasseziomycetes; Malasseziales; Malasseziaceae
Description: eukaryotic LSU rRNA
Rfam family: 5.8S ribosomal RNA (bases 216-369)
Source: RNAcentral
AUUAGUGAAGAUUUGGGCAGGCCAUACGGACGCCAAAAAGUGUCCCUGGCCGCCUACACCCACUAUACAUCCACAAACCCGUGUGCACUGUCUUGGAGAAAGGCUUCAGAGAAGUUUUUUGUGGCCUCUCUUGGGGUCUUUCUUCGCUACAAACUCGAAUGGUUAGUAUGAACGUGGAACUUGGUUGGACCGUCACUGGCCAACAAACUAUACACAACUUUCGACAACGGAUCUCUUGGUUCUCCCAUCGAUGAAGAACGCAGCGAAACGCGAUAGGUAAUGUGAAUUGCAGAAUUCCGUGAAUCAUCGAAUCUUUGAACGCACCUUGCGCUCUAUGGCAAUCCGUAGAGCAUGCCUGUUUGAGUGCCAUGAAAUCUCCCACCCCAAGCGGUUUUUAAAUGAAACGGCUUGGCGGAUGGGGUCUGGAUGGGUGCCUCUGCCUGCGCUACCUAGCACAGGCUCGCCCGAAAUGCAUGAGCGCCUGAGACACUUUGCAUCCGCCUCUCUGUUUGGGAGGAGGCGGCCAAGCAGUGUUUUUCUCCUGGCAUGGCAUGAUACGUCAUUUGCUAUGUCGCCUAAAGGAGGAAUGUUUGGUUGUGUCUGCGUGUGCUUCGAACUUGCCUCUGUGGCACAUCCCAAUUUCACUUCUGGUCUCAAAUCAGGUAGGAUCACCCGCUGA